Molecule: non-coding RNA, 95 nt
Organism: Mycena rosella
Lineage: Eukaryota; Fungi; Basidiomycota; Agaricomycetes; Agaricales; Mycenaceae
Source: the annotation of a GenBank genome assembly
UGCACCGUGGUGUACGGAACACACGCUGAGCACUUUUAUUUUGUGUAUUGAUUCAGCUCACGCAGCAAGCCGGGGUUCGACUCCCCGCGGUGCAC